UAGCACAGGAACAGAGUGGGAGGGAAAGAGAGAGAAAGAGAGCCAGGAACAACACGUCACAUUAGAAAGGACACAACAGAAGUGCUCCAGGAUGCUAGGGACAGCGUUGAGCUUUUGUUACCUAGUGGCUACACAAGCCAGGAAGUACCAACGACCGGAUUUGAUGUGUGGUAGUAACAGGUUUCCGGUUUCCUUCUGUGCAGGAUAACUUGAGGCGUUUCUGGGAGAGGUUUGUGAGAGAGGAUCUGUUGAAGGUAAAUCCUCCACAUUGUACUUUUCAGCAAAUUAUUGUUCCCAUUCAUGUUGUUGAUACUCUACAGUAAUAGGGUGUGACAUAAAACUGUUGCUUCAAAUAUAUACAGUAUCUCUAUGUGAAGAAAUUCAUGCAACAAACUCAUUUCGGUCAAUCUUAAUGGCGCACACAUG
Long non-coding RNA from Oreochromis aureus, 426 nucleotides. NCBI's taxonomy places the organism in Eukaryota, Metazoa, Chordata, Actinopteri, Cichliformes, Cichlidae. The record is from Ensembl.